Molecule: long non-coding RNA, 35918 nt
Filed under: Vigna radiata
Lineage: Eukaryota; Viridiplantae; Streptophyta; Magnoliopsida; Fabales; Fabaceae
Description: long non-coding RNA (VRAD_LNC009853)
Source: RNAcentral
GCCAAAUUACAAGCAAUGAAAGAAACAACAAAUAUGGAAGAAAAAUAAAGAACAAAUGACGUNUUGCAGCUUUGGCUUCUCUCAAGAAAUGAAAUGUGCUGAAAAUGAUCACUCAAGCAAAGGUCAUAGCUGCAAGGUGGAUUUUCUGUUUUGUAACCGUGAGCAAGCAAAGAAUUCUACUGUCAAGCAUUAUGCAGUUUGCUGUCACAUAAGAGGCUUCCAAUAUUGACAAUUCUGCUGCACUAGAAAGCCAUCACGCCUUGCGGUUUCCACCAAUUUCCCACUUCUUAGAAUGCUACCAAAAUGAAGGAACCUCUGGCUAGGCCAAUCCCACGUAGUUAAACCUCCGAAUGAUCACAGGAUAACAUUAGCUCAAGGGAGAAAAGAUGAAACUGUUGUCCAGAAAUGCACCAGAAAUUACUGCACUACAACACCUUUUAUCAAAUAGGUGGUAGGCAAGAAGACCAAAAACUCAAAUUAAAGCAAUAAAAGGAAAUUCAAACACGGUGGCACAUCAAAAUGAACCUAGGAAUAGAUCUAGAGCAGAUUAAUAAAGCAAGAAAUCAAAACAAGCUGCAGAAGAAUUGAAAUGGAAGGCAAAUAAAAUUUGGUUGAAAUUGUUUGAUAAAUUGUCUGAGAGAAAAAAACAGUUUGGUGCACCAGAAUUUGCAAAUUCACUUGUACUGGCCAAUCAACUAUUAUUUCACAAUAUUUAUUUCUAUAUUCUUGUUUAUUUUCAUCUUUUCUUUCUUUCCAAUGUUCAAUACACUUGGCCAAGCUUUUGCUAUAAGUUGAAUUGACUAAAAUGCACCAAAUCAAAUUACUCAAUCAAAUUGGAAUCAGGCAGCUUGUUCUCAAACAUUUGUUGACUAAAAUUGAUGGUUGAAAGAGUGAAAUUGUGCAGAGUUGUUAGAAGUCAAAUUUUGUUUGCAUAACCAAGUUUCAAUAGCCAAUACAAACUUGCUGAAAUGAAAAAUUGAUGCAAAAACAACUUUAAACAAAUUUUGACUUGUUCAACUCCUUUUAUGCAGCAAACUAGUAAGUCAACCAUCCAAAUUUUAGUGCACAUAUUCAAAUGACCUGUGGACACUGAAAUGCAUCCAAUUACAACAACUAAAACUUGAUGAAAACACUGGAAUAGAAUUUAAAGAAGUUCAGUAAUGAUCUAAUACUGAAACAGAUUUGGAAAACAAAAAAAAUUAACCUAAUCAACAUGAUGCAGUUCGGUCAACUGUAGAAUGGAUGCAAUGAGCAUGUUUCAAUGAUGCAACCACGUUAAUUGCAGACACAAAUUAGUGCUGAUACAGUGUGCAUUCAGCUUUGGCUCAAGUGAUGCAUCUAAUUACAUAUCCAAAUCAACAUUACUGUUAUAUUACAAAUCCAAAUUACUGCACAGACUUAUAACUCUAAAUUGGCAUCACAAAUCAUGCAUCUGAGCUCUUCAUUUAAUCAUAGCUCCUUUACUAUGCAGAUAGUGAAUACACAACCAGAUUAUACAACAUAUGCAAAAAUCAGUCAAGAUUUAAAGUGCCGAAACAGAUUUCAAAACAGAAUCAAAUAGUGCAACAAUUGGUUCUGCAUAAUGGUGGAAUUCAAGAUGUACUAGAGCUCCUUAAUCAUUGCUCAUCUGAUGUACUCUUAUUGAAAAUUCCAAUCCAACCAGCAGGUUUAUCCAAGCACGAAAAGGACUUAGAAAUUUGACAAAAUUAAACAAAUACACAUGACUAAGACAAAAUAGAAACAAAUUAAAAAAUUAAAGAUUCAAAUAAGGAAGUGGCCGAAUAAAAUGAUGAAUCAAAAGAAAACAAGCAAAGCUGGAAUGAAUGAAGACUCAACAGAAACCUAUGAUUCAGAAUAAAGCAACGAAAUAGUACAAAAAUUCAUUCAAACAUGAAGGAACAAACAACGAAACAGUAUUAAAAUGAAAGAAUUGGACUCAGCUGGAGCGUGCCGUGGAACAACCGUGGCUCUGAAUACCACAUGAUACGCUCCAAAUUGCAGUAGCAACAUUUGACAACAUGGUUCUCUAUGUGAAAACAAAUGGCAGCGGAAGUAGAUGAAAGUGUGCAGAUGAAGUGCUGUUUGGAAUGGCAUCUAACUCAGACGGCUCUCCAUGCUUGGAAAGAAGCUAGAGGGAAAUUGGGGGAAGCACAGGAAGGUGACUUUCAGAUUGAGAAAAGGCUAGAAAUGCUUCAGCAAAUUCAUUUCUCAAAGGUUCAAAAGUGAUGGUAUAUGCUAAUAAAAGCAAUUUAUAGCCAAAAUGUGUAGCCCAUGAAUGAUGCUGAUUAAAACUAGAUAAACACAUAUUUCAACACGUGGCAGUGGUGUGGAAUAUGUGUUCAUGCUUCUGGAGGAGGCAAAGCCGUGCGUGGAAGUGCAGCAGCAAAUGGUUACUGCCAAAACACGUUUCUGAUGCAACGUGUAAGCAUGUGCAUUUCUUGAGACAACUCCAAUCUUGCUAAACUCACCCCCAUCUGUUGUGCAAAAGACACUUUUGUCCUUCUUCUGGUUUGGUGGACUUUAUUUAUUUGGGAUUGGGCCCAGCGUAUCACUUUCAGUUUCAAUUGAUUCUUAACAUAUCCCUUUAAGAUAUUCAUGUAUCUUUCAACCGGGUACAUCCACCUAAAGAAAACCGGCCCACAUAUUCAAAUUUCUCUCACUAGAUGGACAACCAAAUGAACCAUGAUAUCAAAAAAUUACGGUGGGAAAUACAUUUCCAAUUGGCAUAAUAGUCUGAUGGCCUCAUUUUCCAAAUCAUCUAACUGUCGGGGAUCAACAACUUUUUUGCAUAUGGCAACGAAAAACAAGGCUACUAAUAUUCGACAAAUAACCUUGUGGAACCUAAAAUUAUUGCAUUAAGAUAUGACAAUCAUGAGACUUUAAACCAACUAACUUUAAAUCUUUCAUAGAAACAAGGCUACUAAUAUACGACGAAUAACCUUGUGGAACCUUCACACUAUGUAAAAAUUGACAAAAAAAUUGCUUUUCUUUUUUUGAAAGAGUGUGACAAGCUGGAGGAAGAUAGGUGCGUCUUCCUAUGGAUUAUGGAUGUAACUCAGAACAGAUUCCCAUGUCAACCAAGUCCCUUCAUGCUUUCACUCCAUCUUUUGUCUUUCCUUUAACGUUUAGUAAAGUCCCAACAACACUAUCACAUACAUUUUUUUUCAACAUGCAUCACGUCUAUGCAAUGUUGCACAUCAAGUUUACACCAAUAUGGAUAUUAAAGAAUAUUGAGCGCUUUUUCCAAAUGUUUUUUCUCAAUGGUCUUCUUUUUAUGUUUUCCGAAGACAACAUCAAUGUUCCUCAGCUGGUUGUAUACUUCUUCCCCAUUACAGGGUCUGGACACUGCAUCAUCUUUAGGACUUCCAUUAAAUGUUUUUUUCAAUCUACGGUAAGGGUGAUUUCGAGGAAGGAAUCUUCAGUGUCUUGUGUACACAGUUUUCUACCCAUGCUUCAGUUGAAGAUAACCAGUAUUUUCUUCACAAAUUGGACAUGCAAAACGACCUCUAACAUUAUAACCACUCAAGUUCCCAUAUGUUGGGAAAUUAUUUAUGUUGCAAGGCAAUAUUGCACGCAAACGAAAGUUUUCUUCUGAAUAUGAAUCGAAGACCUCGACGUCCUCUUCCUAUAAUGAAUUUUCUCUUCAUGCAUAACAUAGGAGAUAGAUUGUAAAUCAUCAAAAUAACUGACCAUGAACUAUGUUUGCUACUUAAGUUGCCAUAAGGACUCAUACCAUUGGUAGCAAGUGCAAGUCUUAAGUUUCUUGGCUUUGCACUAAAUUCGGGAAAUGUGCCAUCAAUGUUCUUCCAUUGUGGCGAAUAAGUUAGGUGUCAAAAAAGAUUAUCACAUUUUCUUCCAUCAACGUGCCACAUAAGAUUAUUCGCAUCUUCUUUAACAGAAAACAAUCGUUUCAACCUAGGUACUAUAGGUAAAUACCACAUGACCUUAGUCGGUGGACCUUCAUUAUGUUCAUCGUUAUUUCCAUCAAGUUUUUUCUUAAAUCGUGACGAACCACACGUCGGACACACCUUCAUUGUUUUGGAAAACAAGUAAGCUUCGUUUUUACAGCAAAAUGGGGGGGGGGGUGAAUUGGUGAUGUUUCAAAAAUAAUAUCUUUUCGCAAUCUUUUAUCGAAAGUACAGAGCUUUUCAAACCUUCUUGAAAUGCAAGUAAUGAAAAUUUAUAUGCAGCGGAAAAAUGUAGUUGACUGCAUGAAAAGUAAAGUCGACUGGAAUUAAAUAGUGCAGGGAUAGAGAAAAUCAAAUGCUGAUUUUUAUAUUUGUUCGGCCAACAAUGCCUACAUCUAGUGUACUUCAAAACCUGGAAGCAAAUGCACUAUAAUGGUUGCGGUUUUAUAGAAGACCUCACGUCAAAAAUAUAAAUCUCCUCUCUAACCUAAAACCAAAAUAUAGCUGCAAUAAUAAAAACCAGACUUACAACAAGAAUCCCCUCUCCUGCAAUCUGAACACCACAUCGAACAAUCCUCAACGUGAAACCCCUGUAUCACAACAGGUCCAAUUCCAGCAGUCUUCACAGGAUGCCAAGCCUCAACAAGUGCGGUAUUAUUCAAAGGAUGUCAAGCCUGAAGUGAUCAACCCAGAAGCACCUUCUUUGUGCAGUAUUUGAUCAGAACAUGAAUGCGCAAGUUAUCUUAUAACAGAGAAUUCAAUCUAAAACAAGAAUGAAAAUGUUAGAUCCUCAAAAGUCUCUGAACAACUCGUGUUCAACCAAUUUAUAGUUUUCUGUCUAUCAGAUUGUUUCUCAGUCGAAUAGGCUAUUAAUUCAGUCGAUUGUAUUAUUACAGUUAUAACAGACAGUCAACAUAGUAGCUCUCAGUCAACCAAAAUCAACACACAUUUAAUACAAUCGAACAAGUCAUCAAUGCUCAACUAAUGUUUAAAAAUAUAGCCUUUGGAGCGCAAGAGCAUAACAUAAUUCCAAAUCAGAUCAAAACCUCAGUCGAAUAUAAACUAGACAAAGUCGACUAACACAUGUAAAAACACUUUGAAAUUCUUUUCAAGUCAAAACAUCACAGAGCACUGAUUCUCAAAAUCUGUACAAAGAUUUUAGCAUAGUCGAAUCCAUUAAUAAUGUAGUCCACUAUUCUAUAACUUUGUCACACAAUUAUAAGUUCAUGAAAGUGCUUGUGGUUUUUCACUUUAAAAAAUGUGCAGUAAAACAUAUGUAAUAAAGCAUUUCACAUUGCACAUAAGCAUGUAAGCAUGUUCCACAAAUAUAUCAAACAAUCAACAUAGGAACAUACAACACAGUACAUCAAACAUUUUCAGCAGAUAUAACAAUCAAUUCAGCAUUAGAACAUGUAAUGCAACAACAUGUGUACUGUUAUUAAGCAAUCUGUUGUCAUCAUAAAAAACUAGAGUGAUAUAGAGUUUGUGUUGUCAACAAUCUCAACAAUCUCCCCCUUUUUUUAUGAUGCACAACCAUGAUUAAUAACUCAACCAUGUUUGUACAGUUCAAUACAAGACAAAGUAAUAGCAUAUUAGCAAAAAAUUUAGCACAGUUCAAUUACUCUGCAUUUAAACCAGUAGCAGUACAAUGUCAAGCAGAUGAAGUAUGAGACAAAAUAACUAUUCUCCCCGUUUCACAAAGCUUUCAUAAUUUCUCUCAUACUCUCAUAUUUCUCUCCCCCUUUGUGCAUUAACAAAAAAGGAUUGCUCUAGAUAUUUAUGCUGAUAUGAAAACAGAGAUGCAUCAGAAAGAUAUUCAAAGUAUAAAAUACAAUGAUGCUCUCACAAUCACAAUUUAAUCACAUAACAAUGUUAACUCCCCUGAAAUGCAGACAUGUGUUGUAAAAUGUGUUAAGAGUGAUACUUCCCCUGUCAUUAUGCAUAAGUAAUAAAUUUAACACAGAUGCACAAUGCAGCAUAUCACAGAUUAAACAACAGUUUAGGACAUAGUUGUAUCAAAGACAAGAUAGCAAAUAAUUUAGAUAUGCAAUGAUACAAUCUUCAACAAUCUCAUAAUAUUAUCUCAAUUAAGAUAUUUGCAACAGAUAAAGCAGGGAUAAUAGUAGAUAUAUCAAAUUUAAGCAAUCAGCAAAGAUAAAACCAUAUUCCAGAUGUGGAAUUUAUAAUCCUGUUAUACGCAGUCGAUUGGAUUAAAUCAUUAGUCGAAUGCAUUGCUUCUCAAAUGUUGAAUUCUAUUUGUAGCUUCCAAAGCAAUGUCCUUCCUGCAAAAACUUUCAAAGAUCCUUUCCAGAUCAAGCACUUUAGUUAUGCAAGAAAAAAAUAGUCAUGAAUAACUGAAGUCAAUAUGUGCAGAUAUAAAACAGUUCAAGCAUAUUUGACUUCAAAUAAGACAUAGUCGAAUCAAUCAAUCAAUGUAUCAGAUGUUUAAACAGCCAUAUUAAAACAAUUUGAGAUUGAUUCAAAAUACUAAUUUCAUUUCCUUGAAAAGAUAUUACAUUGAUAGGAUCAGACAAGGAAAACUAAAAGACAACAAAAGAUGGCAUUAUAAGCCAUACACAAAAGAGACUUUGUUAAGAUAGAACUGGUGAUGUGUAUCAUUCAUUCCUUUCCUUCAAUUACUGAACUCAUGGAUAUACUUUCUUUUUUAUUCUUAUGCUUCAGAGGUUGCAUAAUGAAGUUUAUCUUUGACUCCAGUUGUUCAAGCUUAUCACCAAACAGUUGAAAUAGAUCAACAAAAUAGGUUUCAAGGCAAUUGUUAGACACAAAGUUGAGUUUAAGAGUUCUAGGUGAAGAGAUUUCUCCAAAAAAGUUUGUCUGGUAAUUAUCCUCAUCAUAAUGCCAGCCUUUAUCACUCUAGACAAGUCCAAGUGAGUCAAGAAUGUUAAAGUUUAUGAUAUUUGUAUUUGUGCUUGAGUACUUUCUUUCACCAGAGACAUUUACUCCAUGAAUUAUUAAUAUGUUACUAACAAGAACGCCAUAUGGAAAAUGUCGAACAAAAAAUUAAGUAACCUUGAUCAUAUGGUCCUUCUGUACUUCUAUCGAGUUGGUGGGAAUGUUGUUCUUAAUGGCAUGUAAGAGAUAUACAUCUUCAGCAGUCAUUUCGUCCAGCAUUAGUCUCCUUGGUAGAAUCACCUAUGCCAAAAUGUAUGCCAAUAACAUUUCCUCAGUCUUAAGGUCUUUAUGGCGAAACAUGUUCUCCCUUGCUUCACUAAUAGGAACUCUGAGCCAACCUCUAAAUAUAUCUUUUUUAUCUAACCAGCGAUUUUCUGAGAAUCAUGUUUAUGCGAGAGGAUUCCAUCGGGUUUGAGACCAGUUGUCUGUAGCCAAAUAUCAUUGUUGAUGAUGAUAUUAACACCUUUGACUCUUGAAGUAAUGUUACCAUCAAUAAUUCUCAAAUGAUGAUAGAAAGCUCUGACAAGGUCAGGAAACCAUUCUCCAUUCAUAUGUACCAAGGUAGACAAAUUUUGUUUCUCAAUCCAUCCAGGAAACUUAAAAUUUUCUUUUUCAAAAAGCCUCGGAUCCAGAUAUCUUGGGUGGAGUAACUUCCUUUGGAUAUUCCAUAUGGAUUUUCACAUCAGAGUCUUUAUCACAAAUUAAAUCUUCAGUAUCAGCUCCCUUGAACAUGGCAAUGGAUUUUCCUUUUUCCUUUCUUGUGAGAUGAGUUUUGGAAGCCAUUUUUCGACUUGUUCAAUACACCCAGAGUUCAGUCAAGGGUCAUUGGAAGUACACAAAUAAGGUGUGUUCUGGUGUCAGAAAAGAGUGCAACAAUGACAUCAUGGAUAGAAAUGGCGCGAAAGAUCAAAAGAAACUCAUAAGAAAGUUUGAUAAAAUAUUGUGAGUGUAGAUGUCAUAAAACAGGAACAUAGUUGAAUGAAUUAAAAUCAUUGACGGCUAAGACACAUGAAAAACAAAGUUUUACACAUAAUCAAUCAAUCAAUUACACAAACAAUAUAAUCAUAUCAUCACACAACAACAACCAAUGCAGUUCAGCUAUAAUGCAGUAAAUUGAUACAGAUUUACCAGUUGUAGAUUCUUAAGAAAAUGAUUUUAAUUCAGAUUAAUCCAUCCUUGAGAUCACACUGCACCAACUGUGUAUCUUGCAAAACAACUAAGUUUUGGUUGCUGGUACCCAUUUGACUUUAGGUCCAUGAUUGUUAAUCCUUGUCACUUGUGCCUUUGGUUUCAAAACAUAUAAUUUUUUAGGAACAACAACAUUUCUAUAAUAACAAUUUCUAACAGUAUGACCAACACAAUUACAAUAGAAACAUGCAUUUCUAGCAGGUUUACUUAAAUCAAUAAAUUUCCUAGCAUUGGGUCUGUUAGAUUGAGCUUUGUAGCCUAUUCCUUAUUUAUGAAUAGCUCUGCUAGAUGAUUUUAGUACAACAUCUAAAUUGUCUCUACCUUUAGUAAACUUAGCUAGCGUGCUAGUUAAGUAACUUAUCUUUUCAAUAUGAGCAAGACAAUUUUCACAAAGUUUGUCUACUGUAACAGUUUCAAUCUUGGCAUUUUUAGCAGAUAACAAAGCUUCAUUUAACUCUUUUUCUAAUUUCUCAUUUUCUGCAACAAGGUUAUUAAUCCUGUAUUCAUAAUCUCUUCUUUCAGAUUUCAGUCGAUUAACCUUAUAUCGCAGUCGCAUAACUUCAGCAUGCUACUCUUUGAAUGCAUCUUGCAGCAGAUCAUACUUGACUUCCACUGGUUCAUUUGAGAUGUCUGCAUCGUUGUCAUAAUCGUCCCAAGUAACUCCAGUCAUUUAGCACAGAUUUGAUUCCACCUCUUGAUCAAAAUCUUCAUCACUUGAGCUUUCAGAAUCUGAGUUCUCCCAAGCAAUGUAAGCUCCUUUCCUCUUCAUAUUUCUGCCUUGAGUGAAUCUUUUCUUUCCUUUCUGCUUGGGCUUUAAGUCAGGACAAUCAGGCUUGAUGUGACCUUCCUUUCAACAUUCAUAGCACUUGACAACAUUUGUAUUGAAGCUCUUCUUUUUGCUUUGACCUGCAUGGUUAGAUAAUUGACUAUCAUUUUGCAUAAGUCUACUAAAUUUUCUUACCAUCAAGGUCAUCAGUUCUUUCUCGUCCAUAUCUAUUUCAAAGUUGUUCUUGCUUGAAGCCUUCAGAGCAAUGGACUUCUUUUCUUCAAUCUCCUCUUCAUCCUUCAGUCUACCAAGUUACAAUUCACGUUCUCGUAACUUGCCAAACAAGGUAGCCAUGUUCAUCAUUGUGAGAUCUUUGGAUUCAGAGAUUGCUGUGACUUUUGGUUGCCAAUUCCUGUUCAGACUUUUCAAAAUCUUGAUGUUGAUCUCUUCCUUAUACAAUGUGAGUGAAUCGUUUCUGUACAUCAUAGAUGUUUUCACCAGCUUUCAUUCUGAACAAUUCGUACUCUUGUAUCAGGGAGUUCUUUCUAGCUCUCUUCACUUCAUCCGUGCCUUCAUGAGUUUCCUCGAAGACAUCCCCCAUUUCCUUUGCAGACUUUCAUUGAGAUAUCCUGAAAAAUUCAUCAAUUGUCAGUGUAGACGCAAUUAUAUUUUUAGCUUUAACAAUAUACUGAGCUUUUCUAUUUUCAUCAUGUCAACACCCAAUUUCUCCAGGUGACUAUAAUAAGACUAUUUUUUAUUUUUGUCUUAUUUUAUUUUAUUUUAAUUUUAUUUUAUUUUUGUUUUAUUAUUUUUAAUUUUUGUUUUACUAUUUAGUAUUUGAUUUAGUUUUUUUAUUAUUGGAUUUAAUUGAAAAAGGAAAAAGAAAAGAAAACAAAGAAAAAAAUGAAGAUUGAAAAAAAAGAAAAAGAAAAAAAAGAAAUAAAGAAAUAAAAAAAAAGAGAAAAGAAAAACAAAACAAAAAAAAAAGAAAAGAAAAAAAGGGGCAACGUGAUCAUCACUCACUCACUGGGUAGCACUCAAUACGGGCAUAACAGAAAUUCCCUUUUGGCUGCUGUUAACGGAUUGACAAGCAUACCAAAUCGUAUCAAGUAAUAAUAAAAGGUAAGUCCAAGUAUCGUUUUCCCAAGAGACUCGAAAGGCCUUAUCGUUCGUGUGAAUUAAGAUUGUAACACUUGAAAAUAUAAAUUAAUUAAUUGGGUAUGAGAACAAAAUAUAAACAUGCAAAAGAGAUUGAUUCAAUUGACGAAAAGAAAACGAUGGAUGAAUGGAGUUGUCGGGGGUUUACAAUUUCAUCUUAUCCGCUCUCUCUUAUUUACUCCUCUUGAUUUAUUUGCUUGAUUAAUUAAUAGUCAUGCAACUUUCUUAGCCUACCCUUAAACCGAUCCCUCGGCGAAAAUAGCCUAUUACUAAUUACUGGCUUGCUAUCCCUAGCCUCCCCUAGCAAUUAAUAAUGCAUUAUAGAGCAGAAGUGAAAAACAAUUGAUCGUCCUACCCCUAUCCCUAGGUGGUAUUGCUUAAUCAAGGAAUUACUCACCAGUUCAUGACAUUACUGUACGUCCCCGUAUCAAUANNNNNNNNNNNNNNNNNNNNNNNNNNNNNNNNNNNNNNNNNNNNNNNNNNNNNNNNNNNNNNNNNNNNNNNNNNNNNNNNNNNNNNNNNNNNNNNNNNNNNNNNNNNNNNNNNNNNNNNNNNNNNNNNNNNNNNNNNNNNNNNNNNNNNNNNNNNNNNNNNNNNNNNNNNNNNNNNNNNNNNNNNNNNNNNNNNNNNNNNNNNNNNNNNNNNNNNNNNNNNNNNNNNNNNNNNNNNNNNNNNNNNNNNNNNNNNNNNNNNNNNNNNNNNNNNNNNNNNNNNNNNNNNNNNNNNNNNNNNNNNNNNNNNNNNNNNNNNNNNNNNNNNNNNNNNNNNNNNNNNNNNNNNNNNNNNNNNNNNNNNNNNNNNNNNNNNNNNNNNNNNNNNNNNNNNNNNNNNNNNNNNNNNNNNNNNNNNNNNNNNNNNNNNNNNNNNNNNNNNNNNNNNNNNNNNNNNNNNNNNNNNNNNNNNNNNNNNNNNNNNNNNNNNNNNNNNNNNNNNNNNNNNNNNNNNNNNNNNNNNNNNNNNNNNNNNNNNNNNNNNNNNNNNNNNNNNNNNNNNNNNNNNNNNNNNNNNNNNNNNNNNNNNNNNNNNNNNNNNNNNNNNNNNNNNNNNNNNNNNNNNNNNNNNNNNNNNNNNNNNNNNNNNNNNNNNNNNNNNNNNNNNNNNNNNNNNNNNNNNNNNNNNNNNNNNNNNNNNNNNNNNNNNNNNNNNNNNNNNNNNNNNNNNNNNNNNNNNNNNNNNNNNNNNNNNNNNNNNNNNNNNNNNNNNNNNNNNNNNNNNNNNNNNNNNNNNNNNNNNNNNNNNNNNNNNNNNNNNNNNNNNNNNNNNNNNNNNNNNNNNNNNNNNNNNNNNNNNNNNNNNNNNNNNNNNNNNNNNNNNNNNNNNNNNNNNNNNNNNNNNNNNNNNNNNNNNNNNNNNNNNNNNNNNNNNNNNNNNNNNNNNNNNNNNNNNNNNNNNNNNNNNNNNNNNNNNNNNNNNNNNNNNNNNNNNNNNNNNNNNNNNNNNNNNNNNNNNNNNNNNNNNNNNNNNNNNNNNNNNNNNNNNNNNNNNNNNNNNNNNNNNNNNNNNNNNNNNNNNNNNNNNNNNNNNNNNNNNNNNNNNNNNNNNNNNNNNNNNNNNNNNNNNNNNNNNNNNNNNNNNNNNNNNNNNNNNNNNNNNNNNNNNNNNNNNNNNNNNNNNNNNNNNNNNNNNNNNNNNNNNNNNNNNNNNNNNNNNNNNNNNNNNNNNNNNNNNNNNNNNNNNNNNNNNNNNNNNNNNNNNNNNNNNNNNNNNNNNNNNAAGUAAUCAAUAGUUUCAAUAAGAGAGAGUAUCAAAAGAUUACAUUGUAUUCCCCAACAACAAUAGGGUUUAGUUCACCAUGGACAUGGUGAAACUAGAUGAAAAAUGGAAGAAGAAUGAAAGAGCAAACCCUAGAAAAGAUGAAAAGGAGCCUAAGCAUCCAAGGGAUCCUCUCUAGAGAGCAAAUUUAGGUCUGGCCGUCUUCCCCUGUCAAAAGAAUGACUCUGAAUUCGUAGUAGGGGUAUUUAUAGGUGAGGAGCGCUUCAAAAUCAGGCCCAAGUCCAGCGUGCCACCGUCGGGCGGUUUAAGUGUGCUGCCCGGCGGUUUCCCAUAACCUGCCACCACCGCCCGGCGGCAAUCGCCAGUGCCCGAUGGUUUCUCUCAGCUUGAGAUGCUGCCUACUCCUCGUCCUAGACCGCCCGACGGUUUAAGUGUGUCGCCGGGCGGUACGUCGACUCUUCAAAACUUCAUUUUUUUGUUCUUUUCUUGAGUCAACGACUUGUAUCUCCAACUCCAUUCUUCACUUUUCUCAAAUUAGCUUCAAAACAAUGCAAAACAAGCAUAAAAUUGCUAAACACAACUUUUGACUCUCUCCAGACUCAUUUAUUGAGUUUUGCUUGAUUCUAAGCUCGUUCCGAGUAGUAAAGGGUGUAAUUUGGUCCAAAUUGACAUAUGAAAAUCACUGUUUUUCAACCUUCAUCCGUCGACUCUUCAUUUCUUCAUUUUUCUUCCCUUUUCUUGAGUCUACGACCUUCAUCUUCAAUUCCAUUGUUCACCUUCUCAAAAAUGCUACAAAACAAUGCAAAACAAGCAUAAUAUCGCUACAAAUAGCUUUUGACUCUCUACAGACUCAUUUAUUGAGUUUUCUUGAUUCUAAGCUCAUUCUAAGCAGUAAAGGGAGUAAUUUGGUCUAAAAUGACAUAUGAAAAUAACUGUUUUUCAACCUUCAUCACCACCCCAAACUUAGAACUUUGCUUGUCCUCAAGCAAACAAAACAAAACAGCAAACAAAACAAAGCUUGGCUUCAUACUAUUUCAUCCAAUGAUUCAACACUCCUAAAGUACAUGACAAACACUACUCAAUCUCAAAACUUUAGUGAAAUCAAAUUAAGAUGCAUGCAUGCUUUCAAUCCAGAGAUUGCACAACAGAUGUUACACAUUAUGAAUGACCAAUCUACUAAGCACAAAUGCACUCAUGAAAAACAGUUAUUUUCAUAUGUCAAUUUGGACCAAAUUACACCCUUUACUACUCGGAUUGAGCUUAGAAUCAAGCAAAACUCAAUAAAUGAGUCUGGAGAGAGUCAAGAGCUGUUUUUAGCGAUUUUAUGCUUGUUUUGCAUUGUUUUGUAGCUAAUUUGAGAAAAGUAAAGAAUGGAGUUGAAGAUAGAGGUCAUAGACUCUAGGAAAGAGCAGAAAAAAAAUGAAGAUUUGAAGAGUUGACGCACCGCCCAACGACAAUGAUAAAGGCUUUUGGAAUGAUUUGAAAAAAUGUUUGAAUUAUCAAAUGGUUGGAGUGCAGAAAAAUCAAACAAAAUGCAGAAAAGUCAACCAGUCAACCAGAAAAGUCAAUCGGUCAACCAGAAAAGUCAACCAGUCAACCAAUUGACCAGAAUGCAGAAAAGUUGACCAGAGCGUAGUUGACCAGCGCUGGGCGGUUGACCGUGGCGUCGGGCGGUUUUGCGGCUUGAGGGAAACCGCCCGGCGGUGAAAUUAGGCGUCGGGCGGUUGUCAGAUGGGCCUGGACCUGUUUUAUGUUAUUUUUUACGAUCUGUUUGGGCUUGGACUUGUUUUAUGUCAUUUUUAUGCCCUAUUUAAAGGCCAGAACGUCUUAGGGUUUGCAUCUUUAAAUGGCUUAGGCACAAAAACACACUUUUCACCCCUUUGGGGCUAGAUUUGGAGAUGGUGGCAGCUCUCCUUUUCUCCUUUUUAGGGUUUCUAUCUCUUUCAUUCCAUUCUUCACCUAGUUUCUCCAUGACGAUGGGGAACUAAUCUUAUUUGUUACUAGGGAAAGAUGUAACCUCUAAACUCUCUUGUAUUUGAAUCAAUUCUUUUUAUUGAUAUAUGCUUACUUCAUUAAUUGUUAGAGUUUUCCUCUUUGCUUAAUGCAUACAUGUUUAACUCAUUCGGUGGUAUGAUCCUUGAUUUUGUCGAUAUGGGGACGUACGGGGAAAUCUAGAACUGGGGAAAUUCUCCCAAAGGUAGUAUUGCCUAUACAUAGGAAUAUGUGGUAAUAUGAGGAUUGGUUGCAUACACACUCCUGUGCUUCAGAAUUAAUUAUUAGGGAUGCUAGGGAUCGUAUGAACUCGUAGUUAAGGAUAGGCUUUCUUACCGGUGACAGCGGUAUUAAGUGUUUUAGAGAGUGGCAUUAACAUUAAUGAAGAAGAGGAAUUCUUAUAUGCAUGAGAGUGAUUAGGUGAAAUCUAACCCCAACAACAUAUUCAUCUCAUAUUCUAAUCUUCAUCCAUCCAUCCAAUUUUGUGUUGAACAUCAAUUGAUCAAAUUGCAUUCAUGUUUAUUUUUCCGUACUUUAGAAAAAUCCCAAAAUAUUAUUUUUAUAGUCUUGAUUGGUUAAGAAAAAGCACAACAGUUUAGUGUCUUGAGUCUCUUGGUAAAACGAUACUUGGACUUACCAUUUAUUAUUACUUGAAACGAUUUGGUACACUUGCCAAUUUGUCAACAGGCAUAUAACGCCAUCUUUUGUGUGUCCUAGGGUGCUUUGUUUUGUCUUUCCUUGAUUGCUCCCACUGAUUUUAAUAUCUCUUAUUCAAGGAAAUGAAAAUUUGCAGUUUGAAUUAAUUCAGUAGUUUGCGAAUCUGUUUGAAUAUCUUUUUUACUGGUUGAAUAAUUCGACUGUGUUAUGAUUGAAGUCAACUUUGCUAUAACUGUCAUGCAUUUUCUUACAUUGACUUUAGAUAUGAUGAAAUAUUAUUCUUGCAUAACCACUAUACUUGAUCUGGAAAAGGUUGUUGAGAGAGCAUCAUUACUAUUUUAAAACUGCAUAUUUGUUUGAUGCUUCUCUGAUUUAAAAUCUGCAUAAAUGUCAAGCAUUCCUUUUUUGUUAAUGCACAAAGGGGGAGAGUUUUAAUAAGUGUAUGUUUGCAAGUCUAUAUGGGGAGAUUUGCUAUAUCAUACUUUAUCUACUUGAUGAUAUUUGUGCUGUAUUUGCAGAGUAAAUGAAUGAUCUGAACUGAUUUUGAAAUCUGUUAUUACUCUGUUAUUUGUGGAAUUGUUCAGAUAUGGUUGCAUUAUUAAUCAUGGUUGUGCAUCAUCAAAAAAGGGGGAGAUUGUUGAGAUUGUUGACAACACAAACUCUAUAUCAAAUUGGUUAUUGAUGAUGACAACACACUGGUUAAUAACAGAACAUAUGUUCCAGAACUACAUGUUAAGUUGAUGUUCUAUACUGUUUUGAACAAUAUCUUUAUUGAACAUGUUUUGUUAUUUUGCAUGGAUGUUCCUAUGAUUGACUAUGUAUCAUAUGUUUGGAACAUGCUUGAAUUGAAAUGUGUGUUAAAAUGAUUUUGAUUACUUUUACAAAAUUCUGAAGAAAAGCUCACAAGUACUUUUAUGAACUUAUAUUUGUUGUGACAAAGGACCAGUUCAGUCGACUAACUUGGUAAUGGAGUCGACUAAGCUAAAAUCUUUGUACAGAUUUUGUGCACGUGUACUUGAUGAGAUUCUGAGAUGAAAAGAAUUUCAAAGUGUUUUUCAUGAGUCAAUCGACAGUGUGAAUCACUCAUUCGACUGUAUUACUGUUUUAUUUGGAAUUCUAUUUUGCCUACUUGCUCCAACGACUAUAAUUUCAAAAGUUAGUUAGGAUUAACUAAUUGGGUCAACUGUCAUAAAUGUGCAUUGAUUUUGUUGACUGAGGAGCCUUAUGUUGACUGUCUGUUAUAACUGAUUUAAUAUAGUCGACUGUAUUAGUAGGCUAUUCGACUGAGACUGACAGGAAACUAUAAAUAGAAACAGAACACGAUUUGUUCUGAGACUUUCGUGAUUUAACAUUUUCAUUGUCCUGUUUCAAAAAAAGCUCUCAGUUUCAGAAGCUCCAUGAAUUCUCCAAGAAGACGGUGGCGAUCUUUAUUGAGAGAGAUUCGGAUUGAGGAGUCAUUUGCGCUUACUGUUGGAUCAACAUCUGCACAAAGAAGGUGCUUCUGGUUUGAUCGUGUAGGCAUUGUUGGCCGAACCAGUAUAAAAAUCAGUGUUUGAUUUUCUCUAUCCCUACACUCUUUAAAUUCAGUCGACUAUACCUGUUUAGCAGUCAACUACGUUUUUCCACUGCAUUACAUUUUUCAAUAACUUGCAUUUCAAGGAAAGAUCAAAAGCUUUGAAUUUUCAUACCAAGAUUGCGAAAAAAGUUUAAAUUUGAACUAACACCAAUUCACCCCCCUCUUGGUGUAAAACGAAGCCAACCUGUUUCCUAACAUAGCAAAGUCUCCUUUCCAAUUUUCUACUCCAUUUUAAUUCUACAUAUGUUGUUCUUAUGUUAUCAUUUACCAGUCCGCUGUUUCUGUCUUUUCAUUUCUAUUUUGAGUUCUAAUUGUGAUUCCAGUUCUGAUUCUCGUGUUUCCAGUGUGUGAGCAUGUUUGUCUUUCAUUUUAAACGGUGAAUUCAAUUUGUUUGAGUCAAUUCCAUCUUCAUUCAUCAAUUUCUGUGUUGUCUUGAUCAUUGAUAACAGAUUAAAAUAUCGUUAUUUGCUAUGUGAUUUUGAUACUAAAAGCACCCUUUUUCACUUAGAAACUUGCAUGAACUCAUAUAUUUUCAGUAAAUUGUGUGAAUAAGAGAGUUGAGGUUGAUUUUAACUGUUUUCUAACAAAUUCCCCUUGUUUUGAUAGAGAUUGAAGCAAUAUUGGAAGAAGAACUGAAAAACCAUGAAGACGGAGCUCAAAAGGGGUCAAAAAGGCAUCAAGAAGGGAGAAAACUCGAAGCCUAGGCGACAGGAACGAAAAACAGCAAAGCUGAAUUCGACGCUGGUUGCCCGGGCGACGGACCCGACGCCCGGGCGACAGACGCUCGAAGCUUGGGCGUCCAAAACUGGCGCCCAAGCCUUACAGAACCCUUGAUUCAUGCUUGGGCGAGCUCCCUAUGACGCUUGAGCGUGAUUUCACGUGGAUCGAGCCUUGAUUCUGCUCUGAUUUGAUUCUUUUGGAUCGGGCCGCACUUUGGGACGCGUCUGGCGCUAUUUAAAUGACCCUCGGGCUCUAGGUUUUGCAUCCCUGGCAGAAGAGAGCAUACAAUACACUCCUAGCCAAUUCUUAGUCUUCCAUUCUUCUUUCUUUUCUUCCAUUGUUCAUAGGUUCCCCCAUGCCUAUAGGGAACUAAUUUCUAUUUGUUGUUGGAGAAUGAUGUAACCCUAUAAACUCUCAUGUAUUUGAAUUGAUUGUUAAUUCUAUAUGCUUUAUGUCAUUAUUUGUUAGAGCAAUUCAUCUAUUUUAUUCUUGCUCAUUGAUAACAGUUGAAAAACUGUUAUUUUCAUACUUAAUUUUGAUAUUAAAUCACACCCUUUAUGGCUUAGAAUUAGCUUGAAAUCAUGCAUUUUUAUUAAGUUAGAGAGUAAGAGAGUCAAAGAUGGUUUUCUUGGUUUUAUAAUUGGUUUCCCUUGAUUUUGUAGGUUUUUGGAAUGAAUUGAAAGAAAGGUUGAAGAUCAAAUGGUUGUAGUGUAGAAAAGUCAAUCAGAAUGCAGAAAAGUCAACCAGAAAAGUCAACCAGUCAACCAGAAAAGUCAACCAGUCAACCAGUUGACUAGAAUGUUGACCAUACCACUGAGCGGUAGUUUUGGGCGCUGAGCGGUCAGUUCUUGGCACUGAGCGGCAGUUUUGGGGGCUGAGCGGUCUUGCGAUUAAAGGGAAACCGCUAAGCGGUUUAAUUAGGCGCUGAGUGGUUAUCUGUUUUUAUUUGGCUCGAUUCAGUUAUCAUUUUGGCCUAUAUAUAGCCCCAGUGCGAAUCAAAACUCAAUCUUUUGGCAGAGAGAAACGUCCAGAGCUGUUCCACACACCUUGGAGGAGGUUCCUUGGAUGCUUAGGCUCUAAUAUACCAAGUUUAGGGUUAUUUCUUCCAUUCUUUCAUUAUAUUUCAUCCAGAUUCACCAUGAUUAUGGUGAACUAAACCCUAGGUUGUUGGGGAACAAUGUAAUCUUUAUGUUUGCAUAUGCUUAUCAUUAUUUUGAAACUCUCAUAUAUCAAAAUUCUUAUCUUCUUUAUAUGUUUGCAUAUGCUUAUCUUUAUCAAUUGUUGGGUUCCUUACCUUUGCUUAAUGCUUUUAUCGUUUAACUCAUUCGGUAAAUGUUGUUUAUCUUUAUUGAUACAGGAACGUACAAUAAUGUCAUGAACUGGGGGGAAUUCCUUAAUUAUGAUAAUACCGCCUAGGAAUAGGGGUAGGACAAUCAAUUGUAUUUUGCUUCUGUUUAUCAUGCAUUAUUAAUUACUAGGGGAGGCUAGGGAUAGCAAGCCAAUAAUUAGUAAUAGGCUCUUUUCUCCAAGGGAUUGGGUUAAGGGUAGACCAAGAAAUUUUGCAUGACAAUAUGAUAAAAAAACGAAUAAGAUAAGAAAAGUAGAUAUAAGAGGGUGAAUAAGAUGAAAUAAGUGUUUUCACGAGGGAUCGGGUUUAAGUGUUUUCACGAGGGACGUUAGCAUUAAUGAAUAAAGAAGAAUUCUUAUAUACAUGAGAGGGAACUUGGUGAAGUCUAACCCCAACAGCAUACCCAUCUCAUAUAAAUCAACCUCCGUUCAUCUCUGUGCUCUUUUACCACUGAUCAAUUGCAAUUUAUUUUCUUUAUUAUUUUUGCACAACAAAUACAUGAUCUUCGUUAUUUUUAGUCUUGAUUAAUCUUGUUUUCACACAACUGUUUAGUGUCGAGAGUCCUCUAGGAUACUAUACUUGGUCUUACCAUUUUAUAUUACUUGUGCGACUCAGUACACUUGCCAAUUUGCCUCAACAAGUUUUUGACGUCGUUGCUAGGGAUUCACGAUUUAAGCAAUUCUAUUUAUGUGAUUCUUUAUUGAUUUUGACUUUAUUUGACUUUAUUUUAUUUUAUUUUAUUCCACCAAUUUCGAUUUUCCAUUUUUGUUUUUAUUUUUUUCAAUCCCCAAUCUCCAUUUUUAAUUAAAAAAAAAAAUUAUUAUUAUUUUUUAUUUAUCACUAACAAUCUCUCUCUAGAAUUUCUGUGCAGGUCUCACAAUAUGCUCUUACAAGAUGCAAUUUUACCAGGAUAAUUUCAACUACUGGUGGGAACCCUACCCAAGUACAAAUCAAAGUCAAUAUGAGCAAGUUAAUGGACUAUUCACUAGUCCAACACAAGCUGAUAGUACUACAAAGCUUGAGGAAACUCUCAAACACUUCCUAAAAGACUCUAUCUCAUUUCGGAAAAAUAUUCAGGCCUCAUAAAAAAAUUUGGGGCUCGGUGCAAGGUCCUAAGUCAAAUGCUGACUGAGAUCACAAACAACCAAAGACCUCAAAAGGAAUGUAAAGAGGUUGUCAUUGAAAGUGACAAAGUCCCAAAUGAGGAAAGAGAAAAAGAAGAAAAGGAGGAUGAGAGAAAAAUAGAGAGAAAAGAGGAAGAGAGUUUGAGCUAUGAAGAACAAGAAAAAGAAGAGAAAGAGGAUGAGAUAAAAAGAGAGAGAAGAAGAAGAAGAAAGUUUGAGUGAGAAAGAGAAAGAGGUAAAAAAGGAAGAGGAUGAGAGAAAAGAAAAAGAAUGUUUGAGAGAGAAAAGAGAAGGAAGUAGAGGAAGAAAAAGAAGGGGUUGAAAAAGAAAAUAGAAAAAUUGAGAAAAGUCCUUUGUGUCCUGAGGAGUGUCCCAAGGAGAAAGAGAGAGGGAGGAAGAAUGAAAGCAAAAAGAAAGAAUCAUAUCAAAAACCCCUUCCUCACCCAAAGAAGGAUCAUAGGAAGAAAAAGGAAAAACAGUUUGAGCGUUUCAAGGAAAUCUUCAAGAAAUUGGAGAUUAAAGUUCCUAUGAUUAGGACACUACAGCAGGUUCCUGUGUAUAUUAAAUUCCUAAAAAAAUUCAACAAAAAGAAAAAAUAUCUUGUAUCCAAUCUCUAAAUUUUUUAUUUUGUUUUAUUCUAUUUUUUUCUUUUAUUUUAUUUGAUUUCAUUUUAUGUGAUUUUGAUUGGAUUGGAUUUGAUUUUAUUUUAUUUUAUUUGAUUUUGUUUGAUUUGAUUUGAUUUUAUUUUAUUUAUUUUAUUUGAUUUGAUUUGAUUUGAUUUUAUUUGAUUUUAUUUAUCCUAUUUUAUUUUAUUUUAUUUUAUUAUUUGUGUGGUUUGGAUUUGAUUUUGUUUUUGUGUGUUUGAGUUUUCUUUAGGUUAUGUGUUGCUUCUGAUGGCAGUUCUGACAGUGUCUACUGAUGGAUGCUUAUGAAGAAGAGAAAAAUUAACAUCUACUAAAGGAUGUUGAUGAGAAAGAUUCGCAUAUACUGAUGGAUGUUGGAAGAGUUUGAGAUAACAUCUACUGAUGGAUGCUGCUAUGGAAGAGGAUGGUGACUAGACAUCUACUGAUGGAUGUUAGGUGAUUAGGCAUCUACUGAUGGAUGCCAAUAAAGAUGAGAAAGAUUGGUGUCUACUGAGGGAUACCAAUGAAGACAAGUAAAAUUAGCAUCUACUGAUGGAUGUUAUGUGAUUAAACAUCUACUGAUGGAUGUUACUAACAACAUCUACUGACGGAUGCUAUGAUGAGCCUAUUGGGUCAAGCUAGUGACGUUAAAGAAGCGCUCGCUGGGAGGCAAUCCAGUUCUCCGAACUUUUACUUUUAAUUUUUAUUUUCGUUUUUGGUUUUAAUUUUUGUUCUAUUCCAUUUUUUUUUUGUGCUCUGCUUGAAUGAACUAAACUGCUCUGAUUCAACUGUGCCUUUUUUGUGUGAUAAGUUUUGCUUUAUGAGAUUCUAGUGUUUGAUUAAAGUUGAGAUGAUGCAUGAUGUGUUAAAAGUGAUGAAUCCCAAUUUGUGAGACAGGUGCUUGAAAUAAAGUUUGAUUAAAAUACUGAGCAGGUUGUUUUUCUGAAUUUGAGAACUUGUGAGUGGACCUGUGUGAGUUUUGAGCUUCAGAGUUGUUCUUAAAUAAUUGUGUUACUUUGGAAGCAUGAAUGGUUUUGCCCAAAUUUUCAGUAAUUGAACUACUUGCUUGCAGGUUCCAUAUGAUCAAGGCCAUCUUUUGUUAUCCCUUAUUCUUUUAGUCUUCACAAAAUUUUUGCCCACUAAAAGGAGAAUAAUUUGUUCUAACCUUUGAACCUUGAGCCUUAUGCAUGUCUUGAAAAACCUUUUUGAAAAAUCGUUACCUUGAGUUAAGUUGAGAACAUUUGAUGAGGUACUGAUAAAGGUUCAAGUUUGGGGUUACUAGGAAACAACCCACCUCUCUAGAUAGUGAGCAAUCAAAAGGAACACACAGAUUUUUGGUUUGGAUUAUGGUGAUACUUUUUCUCCAAUGGCGAAAAUGACUUCGGUUCGCCUAUUCAUUGCCAUGGCCGCCCUUCGACAAUGGCCUCUGUAUCAACUUGAUGUCAAAAAUGCUUUCCUUAAUGGUGAUUUGCAUGAAGAAAUUUAUAUGGAGCAACCGCCCGGCUUUGUUGCUCAGGGGGAGUCAUCUGGAUUGGUAUGUCGUCUUCGCAAAUCCCUAUAUGGCCUAAAACAGUCUCCUCGGGCCUGGUUUGGUAAAUUCAGUGGUGUUGUUCAACAAUUUGGUAUGACUCGUAGUGAGGCGGAUCAUUCAGUGUUCUAUCGCCACUCAAGUGCUGGAUGUAUCUACUUAAUAGUGUAUGUCGAUGAUAUUGUUCUCACAGGAAGCGACUACCUUGGCAUCUCUCAGAUGAAACAACACAUUUGUCACCAUUUUCAAACCAAAGAUCUUGGCAAACUCCGGUACUUUUUGGGUAUUGAAGUAGCACAAUCCNNNNNNNNNNNNNNNNNNNNNNNNNNNNNNNNNNNNNNNNUUUCAAACCAGAGAUCUUGGCAAACUCCGGUACUUUUUGGGUAUUGAAGUAGCACAAUCCAAUGAUGGUAUUGUCAUAUCUCAGAGGAAGUAUGCGUUAGANAUCUUGGAGNAAANAGGGUUAAUGAACUGUAAGUCUGUUGAGACACCUAUGGAUCCUAACAUCAAGCUCCUACCAAAUCAGGGGGAGCCUUUCUUAGAUCCUGAACGUUACAGAAGAUUAGUUGGUAAAUUAAACUAUCUUACUGUUACACGUCCUGACAUUUCCUUCGCAGUUAGUGUGGUGAGUCAAUUCCUUAACUCCCCAUGUGAAGACCAUUGGGAUGCAGUUGUUCGCAUAAUGAAGUAUAUUAAGAGAUCACCUGGAAAAGGUUUGCUAUAUGGUCCUAACAACGAUACAAAAAUCGUUUGUUAUUCAGAUGCUGAUUGGGCUGGUUCCCCUUCUGAUAGGAGGUCUACUUUUGGAUAUUGUGUCUCUAUUGGUGGCAACCUGAUAUCUUGGAAAAGUAAGAAGCAAAGUUUUGUGGCUAGGUCCAGCGCAGAAGCAGAAAUUUAUUUAGUGAAUUGAAAUUGUGGCUAUAGAGCUAUGGCAUCAGCUACUUGUGAGCUUGUAUGGCUUAAACAAUUACUUAGUGAAUUGAAAUUUGGAGAUAUCACUCACAUGACACUUAUAUGUGAUAAUCAAGCUGCUCUUCAUAUUAGCGCUAACCCUGUCUUCCAUGAGAGAACCAAGCACAUUGAAGUUGAUUACCAUUUUAUUAGAGAAAAAAUCAUAUCUGGAGAUAUCAAGACUGAGUUCGUUAACUCAAGCAACNNGUUGGCAGACAUAUUCACUAAGUCCUUGUGAGGACCUAGAAUUGAUUAUCUUUGUAACAAGCUUGGAACAUAUGAUUUGUAUACUCCAGCUUGAGGGGGAGUGUUAGAGAUAUUAUAUUUAGUUUAUAUUUAUCUCUUAUCUUUAGUUAGUUUGUUUAUAUUUCUUAUUUGUUUUUUGGGCUUAGCCCAUAUUUCUUCUAUUAUAAAUAAAGGACCCUAUGUGUAUAUUCAACAAAAGGGAGAUUUCCCCUCAUCUCUUUCACUAUUUCAUAACAAGAAAAAGGCAAAAGAAAAGAAAAAGUGAGAGAAUAAAGAUUCAAAAAGAAAAAGAAAGAGCUCACUGCAAGGGAAGGCUGUGAAAAAUAUAAGAGAAUUGUUCUUGAAAGACGAAUUCAUAAAUGUCUCUCUUAACUCAAGGAAUUUUAUUCACCAAAAAAACCAAUUUCCUUCUUAGCCCAACCAAGUUACAAGCCAUGAAAAGCCCUUGUGAUGGCAACCUAUUUGUAAGUAUGUUUGAUUGUGGUUAAAUAAAAGGCAAAAUUAAUUUGUGUGACAUUGUGACAACAGAGAGAAGCACCACACCAUACACCUGAGAGUUUAGUGAUACACUUUUGAAUGCUUGAGUGCUUGAGUGAAACACUUUCCCUGGUGAGGAUUAGUUCUCGGAAUUUCUGAUUGCAUCUUUGCUAGGUUGAUUGAUCACUAUUAAGGACAACAUCUGUUGAAAAUGCACUGACACAUCUGCACAUCUUGACUAAAAUCUUAUGCUGAAGUUGAUAAAAGUGAUUUCUUGUCUUGAAAAAGUCUUUGAAAAAGGUUGAUUCAUUGUAGUGAUUGUUUUGAAAACCUGAGUUGUAGUUAUUUGCUUGAGGACAAGCAAAGUUCUAAGUUUGGGGUUGUGACAACAGAUUAAAAUACCGUUAUUUGCUAUGUGAUUUUGAUACUAAAAGCACCCUUUUUCACUUAGAAACUUGCUUGAACUCAUAUAUUUUCAGUAAAUUAUGUGAAUAAGAGAGUUGAGGUUGAUAUUAACUGUUUUCAAAAACAUUCCCCUCGUUUUGACAGAGAUUGAAGCAAUAUUGGAAGAAGAACUGAAAAGCCAUGAAGACGGAGCUCAAAAGGGGUCAAAAAAGCACCAAGAAGGGAGGAAACUCGAAGCCCAGGCGACAAGAACGAAAAACAGCGAAGCUGAAUUCGACACUGGUUGGCUGGGCAACGGACUCGACGCCCGGGCGACGGACGCUCGAAGCUUGGGCGUCCAAAACUGGCGCCCAAGCCUUAUAGAACCCUUGAAUCAUGCUUGGUGAGCUCCCUACGACGCUUGAGCGUGAUUUCACGUGGACCGGGCCCUGAUUCUGCUCUGAUUUGAUUCUUUUGGACCGCGCCGCACUCUGGUGUUAGGAAACAGGUUGGCUUCGUUUUACACUAAGAGGGGGGGUGAAUUGGUGAUAGUUCAAAUUUAAAAUCUUUUCACAAUCUUGGUAUGAAAGUUGAAAGCUUUUGAUCUUUCCUUGAAAUGCAAGUUAUUGAAAAAUGUAAUGCAGCGGAAAAACAUAGUUGACUGCUAGACAAAUAUAGUCGACUGAAUUAAAAGAGUGUAGAGAUAGAAAAAUUAAACACUGAUUUUUAUUCUGGUUCAGCCAACAAUGCCUACAUCCAGUGUCCUUCCAACCUUGGAAGCAAAUGCACUAUAAUUGUUGCGAUUUUUACAACAAGGAAUUUAUAGAAGCACCACGCAAAAAUAUAAAUCUCCUCUCUAACCCAAAACCAAAUUUAACUGCACACAAAAACCAGAAUUGCAGCAAGAAUCCCCUCUCCUGCAAUCUGCUCCCACGUUGAACAAUCCUCAACGUAUCACUAGCACUCUUCACAGGAUGCCAACCCUAUCACAGCACGCUUCACAGGUUGCCAAGCCUAUCACAGCACACUUCACAGGUUGCCAAGCCUUCAGUCAAAUGUAGUAGUCUUCAUAGGAUAUGAAGCCUUGAAGAUCAAACCAGAAGCACCUUCUUUGUGUAGAUGUUGAUCAAACAGUAAGCGCAAUUGACUCCUCAAUCUGAAUCUCUCUCAAGAAAGAUCACCACCGUCUUCUUAGAGAAUUCUUGGAGCGUCUGAAACUGAGAGCUUUCUCGGAAACAGGACAAUGAAAAUGUUAGAUCAUAAAUGUCUUAGAACAAAUCGUGUUAUGUUUCUAUUUUUAGUUUUCCUGUCAGUUUCAUUUGAAUGACCUACUAAUAGAGUCGACUGUAUUAAAUCAGUUAUAACAAACAGUCAACACACAGGCUCCUCAGUCAACAGAAUUAACACACAUUUAUGACAAUUGACCCAGUUAGUUAAUCCUAACUAACUUUUGAAAAUACAGUCGAAUAAGUGAUCCACAUUGUCGACUGACUCAUGAAAAAACUCUUUGAAAUUCUUUUCAUCUCAAAAUCUCAUCAAGUACACGUGUACAAAAUCUCUACAAAGAUUUUAGCUGAAUCGACUCCAUUACCAGUGUAGUCGACUGAACUGAACCUUUGUUACAACAAAUAUAAGUUCAUAAAAGUACUUGUGAGCUUUUCUUUGGAAAUGUGUAACAGUAAUAAAAAACAUUUUAACACACAUUUUGAUACGCGGGGCCCAAAGCCCAAUGUCUUUAGUGUAGUCUUUCUUUUAUGUACUUUGUAUUGUGUUAGGCAUGUGGGACUUCUAGUCCUAUAAAUAGCCAUGCCUACACUUCUUGUACUUACUUUUGAGAUAAUGAAUUAAUUUUCUGUUGAGUAUACUCCAGACUUAAUUCCUUGAAAGUCAAGGCUGAAGAAUCCAAGGGAUUCCUCAGCCACCUUCCAAUCACAUUGCAUUUCCUCUCAUUCUCCAAUAUCAGAUUUCUCUCUCUCCACCUAACACCACCGUACGCCACUCGUCCAAUUACUUGUUGACUCGUGGUUUCUUACUGCCUCACCAACGCAUAUCUUGGCUGCAUCACUUUUCAUUCCACAUUUCUUUCGAAGCCACAAAUCACUCUACUCAGAAUUCUCUCUCUCGAGAGCAUCUCCACCGCAAGCCAUCUCUCGUCCUUCACAGAUCCAACUCCGUCCACCAAUCAUUUCCUAUUUCCUCACCAGGUAACCCUGAGCUCACCAUUUUUGUUUGAACCACCGGUUGUUUCUCCGGUUUACAUCAUUUUCACCGAUCAAACUGCGAUUCCUUAUUUUUCCACCGAUUAAACCACAACCUUGCUCUGUUCCACCGAUUCAAUCGGUGAGAUCUUCCUUUUCCACCAUCUAAGACCUUCCAAACUCCCAACCCUAACCUUUUCACCGAACAAAUCAUCCCAAUGCUAGGGUUCGUAGUCUUCGCCUUUAGUCUUCCGCUGCGUCUUCAACUUCCAAACCGUGUUUUUCGCUGAUUCUCAAGUUAUCGGCUCAAACCGUGUCAGAUUCGAUGUUCCUCGCCGAUCUGUCUCGGAAUGGGUUGUAACAUGUGGUAAUCAGAGCAAGGUUCUCUUCCACGGGCUUCAAAGAUAAGUUCACGAUCUCUGUGUUUUUCUAGUUUUGUUUCGAAUCUUGUCUUGAUCUGUUAUUCUUUGUCUUCUCUGUUUUGAGAUUCAAUAUUCCGCGUUGUUCAUUGUGAUUCUUUCAUUAUUUUGUGUGAUUUACCUUGUGGUGUUCAAUCUCUUCGUGAUAUGUUGAGUUGUUCUGUGCCUUUGUUUUUUUUUAUUUGAGUCUUAUUCUUAUCUUUAUUCGGUGAAUCAUUUGUUGAGUCAUUUUAUUUUCUAAAUCCAUUUCUGUAAUGUCUUAGUCAUGUUGUUUGUUUGAUUUGUCAUAUGAAUCUGAGUUUAACCUUUGUAAUUGUCAAGUCAUGAGUUAAGUUUGGUCUAUGCCUUGUUUAACUCAUGUCAAUCAUUAAGAGCCGUGAUAUUCAAUUGAAUGAGCUCGAUUUCUGUGGCAACAUUGGAUGAAGUAACAUGUUUCUUGAAUAUGUUUAAUCAGUUUCACCGAUACUGAAUGUGCUUUGAGAGUCUUGGUGUCAUUCAUACUUGGGUUUAGAAUCUUUGCAAAGUUCUGGUUCAAUUUUUCCAGUAUAGUCAUUGAUAUUGUCUAUUUGGCAUCUACUAUGGUCUGAGAUUCUGCAGAAUUGCAUUGAAAUUGAUUGUAACAGUGUUUGAACUUGUUUUUGAACUUCUGAAUGUGGUUAGUAGUGUGCAUUCUGAGCAUAUACCUUGACAACAAUUCUGCAGUUGAGUAUGUAUUUUUUUGGUCACUCAAGGAAGCCUGAGCCCGUGGUAUUUGAAACCAUAACUAUGGCUGAGAGCGAUUAAUUUCUUGUUUUCCUUUGGAUUUUUUUGAUUUGAACCAUGUUUAAUUUCCUUUGGCAAAAAAAAAUCUGAUUAAGUUGAAAAGUUGAUUAGGUGAUCUAUUGUGAAUUGUGACUGAAAAUAGCAAGUUCUAAAGUGUCAUCCAAAUCAGAUUGGGCUAUCAAAUUGUGAUUAAAAAAAAAAAGCAAAGAGAACUGGUGUAAUUCACAAUAGUAUUCACUGUUUCAGUAAACUAUCUCUGCCAAAAUCAGAUAUAACUGUUUUCAUUCAUAACUAGUUCAACUUAAGUCUUUUUCUUGUUUUUCAAAUCUGUUCUAGUGCCAAUCAUAGGUUCAAUUUGUGUGCUAGCCUUUCUAAGUUGUUUUUUUUUUUGCUUGUAUUGAUUGACUUUCUAAGUUUUGUCUACUUCACACGUGUAUUGGAUCUUUUCUUUGUUUUCUUCAUCUAUUCUAGAGUUGUCUUAGGCAAUAGACCUGCUGUGCUUUCAUUGCUUUAAACUGUCGUGCUUGUCUCUAGUAUCUGCCAUUGCUUUUGCUUAGCCUAUCCAUCUCUGGUUUGAGAAGCAUUUUCAUUCUUGGUUUUGGAAUUUGGAAAGAAAGGAUUGUGUGCUUGGUAGCAUCUUAGGUGGUGGUGGUCUAAAAGACUAUCCAGCCUUGUACUGACAAGGGAGAAUCUCCCUUCCAAACCUUUCAUUGGUGAGCUUUAAAAGUUUUAAUGAGAAGCCUGAGUGUUGUGAGUUUUGUAAGGCUGUAUUAGCCUAAUUUCCUUGGCAAAUUUGUGAGCGAAAAUUUGCCUUCACUUAACUGUUGCUAACUAUUUUAUGACUGAUCAUUGUGUAGGAAAUUGAAAGAUCAAGCAACUGUGAUUGUUUGAAACUGGCCCAUGCAGAUUUCAGUUGUUUUCGAAAUUGAUUGAUUGAACUAGUUGAUUUGUCCUGUUUUGCUUGUGAAAAUUGUUAUUGCACACAUUGUUGCAUUCAUCUUAUAAUCUAUUUUCUGAUUCAUUGAUCUAAUCACUGUUUUGAAAAUGAAUUGUGAUUUCAUGGUUUAAUUAGACAUGUAGAAUGCUGAAUCUUGAGUUAAUAAGAUCUGUUUGAACUUGAUAGAUGCAUUAGGAAUUGAUAAUAAUGUACUGAUUGUUUUAUGAGCAUUUCUGAAGUUGCAUCAACUUGUUCAAACUGCCCAUGAUUAAUUUCUACGUUGAGUCACAUCCAAUCUGAGAUCUAAUUCAUUGUCAAUUGUACUUGCUGGAUUAUGUUGUGACUUGUGUGCAGAAUUGAUUUUCCUGGAAUUGUUUUUUAAAUCAGUCUGGUUUAGUUUUGAGUUACCCCUAUUUGCAUCUGGUUUAAUAUUCAUGUUCAUGAGCAUGUUUUACUAGCUUUUGGUGUAAUUCCUGUGUGCAUAACUGAAUUGAAUCAGUCUAGGAAGAAUGUGCAGCAUUGGUGUGUUUUAUGUGCAGAGUUGGACUAUUUGGCAUCAAUAAUUUCUUGAUUAUACAACAGCAACAACACCUCAAUGUGGAGUUUGGAGCAAUUCUGAAUUGAAGAUUUGAUCUGAUUGGAAUUAGGAUUGAAGAGCAUGCGAAAAAAAAUUUUGUAGCAGACUGCAAGUUGAGAGCAAUAAGGAGUUGUGAGCUGCACCAACUGCACCAGACGAGAGAAAGGAAUGGACCCAGAGAGCUUUGUGAUAUAGACCGAGAGAGUUGGCUACAGGAGCUAGCAUAGACCACUGUCCAGAAUGCAACAUUGACCAAGUGAAUCAAGACCGUGGCAACUUAGUGUAAAAGUUGGGUUGUAGCAGUGUUGGGCCGUAGCAGACCAGUAUCAUAGUUUCGUUUGUAUUUUUUUUCUUUUUCUUUGUAUUUGAUGGGCUUGCAGCCGAACUGUCACUGUUAGAUUAGCUUUGUGAUUGUAACAGGCCUUUUAUAAAGUCCAAGAUUGGAAGAGUUCUUAGUGCUCUUUCCAACUCUUGGCAACUUUAUUUGUUUUUCUUUUUUUUUAUUGUUUGAUUGUGUUCACGUUCACGUUUAGGGGUGAUUUAGGCUAGAAGAUUUUGCCUUAUCACAUUAGAGUCCGAGUCCGAAAACGUUUAGGUGUCUUAGAAUCUGUCAAUUGUCGGGUCUUAGAAUUUGUCAAUUGUCUUUGUUUGUGUGUCCUUUGAUUUUAAAAGUAAUUUUACUUUAAAGGGUAUUUAGUGAGUAGCAUAAGACAAAUCUGGCUAAGGCAAAGACUUGGUACUUAAGCAACCCUAGUGGUUCACCUCUCUUACCUGGGAUUUGUCAAGUGUGAAAUCUUUAAACUCUUUAGAUUAGAAGAACUUUUAAGAACAAAGAUGUCUUGUUAUUCAUGCAGUUCCUUUAGUUCAUAUAGUUCAUCUAGAAAUUUUAAUUUUGAUCAGUCCAUUAGUUUUAAAGAAAUUAAAAGAGAACAUGACAAAGCUAGGAGGAAGACUUGUUCCUUUCAUGAGUUUGAUAGGAUUGAAAAUACUUUGUAUAAACAAGCUAGGGAAAAUAUUCCUUUCUUUGGUAAGGAUAUUGGUGCAUUUACUUACUUAGCUUGGGAAAAGGAAAUUGAUGACAUGCAUUUCUUUAUGGUUAGAAGAAGUCAAUCUGAAUCCUAUUAUUCUCGCGAUUGUGAAUCAUAUAUCAUGAAUCUUUACAUUUCUAGAUUUGAAAAACAUGCAAGAGAGUGGUGGGAUGAAAGAGCAUAUCAUGUUAGGAUAGGUAGAAAAUUCCCCAUUCAUAAUUGGAAAGAAUUGAAAGCUUGUUUGAGAAGAAAGUUUGUGCCUCCAAAUAUUCAAAGUAACUUAGAACUUAUGAGAGAGCUUAUUAGAGAAGGCAACUUGUUUAUUCAAAAUUUAAGUGGGUUCUCUCGUAGAGAAAGUGAGUUUUAGAGAAACUUACGAGGCAAUGGGAAGAAUCAAGCAAAUAUAGGAUAGAGAGAAUAAAGAGAGAGCAAGAAAGAAUAGAGAAAGUAAGAGAGAGAAGGGAACAAGUAAGAAGAGAAGAGGAAGAAAAAAAGAGAAGAGAUAAGGAAGAAAGGAUGGAGCAACAGAGAAGAGAAGAGGAAGAAAACGAGAGAAUAAGAAAAGAGAAAGAAAGAAAGGAAGAAGAAGAAGAAAAGAGAGAAGUGGAAGAGAGAUUACAAAAGAAAGAGACGGAAGAAAUUGAAAGGAAGAAAAUGGAAGAGAAGAGAUUGAUGGCAACAUCUCCUACUUUUACAAUAGAAUCCAAACUUUUAAGGGGAGGUUUUCUAUCUUUUCACUUUCCAUUUGUUAUUAAAUGUCCUAAUUCUAUCUUUUCUUUCCAAGGAAUUGCCAUUAAACCUUUUCAAAAGUUGCAAUCUUUAACACAUGGCAAUCAAAAACUUGAGUUAGAGAUAUCUUCCAAGUUAUCACUAACUCAAGACAAAAUUAAAUUUUCAAAUGGAGUAAGGUUUCUUUUUAGUCAUAAACUUGAAAAUUUCAAAGUUAGGAAACCUUCUUCUAGACAUAUUCCUUUAUAUAUCUUAUUGGGUCAAAUAAAACUAAUUAGAGAUAUGUUUGAUGCUUAUUGCAGAUUAAUAUUUGAUCCAGGAAGAACUUCUAUGGAGUUUACAAAUCAGAUUUGAGGACAAAUCCUUUCCAAGAGGGAGGAAAUGAUACACGGGGCCCAAAGCCCAAUGUCUUUAGUGUAGUCUUUCUUUUAUGUACUUUGUAUUGUGUUAGGCAUGUGGGACUUCUAGUCCUAUAAAUAGCCAUGCCUACACUUCUUGUACUUACUUUUGAGAUAAUGAAUUAAUUUUCUGUUGAGUAUACUCCAGACUUAAUUCCUUGAAAGUCAAGGCUGAAGAAUCCAAGGGAUUCCUCAGCCACCUUCCAAUCACAUUGCAUUUCCUCUCAUUCUCCAAUAUCAGAUUUCUCUCUCUCCACCUAACACCACCGUACGCCACUCGUCCAAUUACUUGUUGACUCGUGGUUUCUCACUGCCUCACCAACGCAUAUCUUGGCUGCGUCACUUUUCACGUUUCAUUCCACAUUUCUUUAGAAGCCACAAAUCACUCUACUCAUGAUUCUCUCUCUCGAGAGCGUCUCCACCGCAAGCCAUCUCUCGUCCUUCAUAGAUCCAGCUCCGUCCACCAAUCAUUUCCUAUUUCCUCACCAGGUAACCCUGAGCUCACCAUUUCCGUUCGAACCACCGGUUGUUUCUCCGGUUUACAUCACUUUCACCGAUCAAAUUGCAAUUCCUUAUUUUUCCACCGAUUAAACCACAACCUUGCUCCGUUCCACUGAUUCAAUCGGUGAGAUCUUCCUUUUCCACCAUCUAAAACCUUCCAAACUCCCAACCCUAACCUUUUCACCGAACAAAUCAUCCCAAACCUAGGGUUCGUAGUCUUCGCCUUCAGUCUUUCGCUGCGUCUGCAACUUCCAAACCGUGCUUUUCGCUGAUUCUCAAGUUAUCGGCUCAAACCGUGUCAGAUUCGAUGUUCCUCGCCGAUUUGUCUCGGAACGGGUUGUAACACAUUUCAACACAGGCAUGUUCCAAAUAUAUAACACAUAUUCAAUCAUAGGAAUAUCCAUGUAAAAUAACAAAACAUGUUCAAUAGAGACAAUGUUCAAAACAGUAUAGCAUAUCAACUUAACAUGUAGUACUGGAACAUAUGUAUUGUUAUUAAGCAAUGUGUUGUCAUCAUAAAAAACCAGUUUGAUAUAGAGUUUGUGUUGUCAACAAUCUCAACAAUCUCCCCCUUUUUUGAUGAUGCACAACCAUGAUUAAUAACUCAACCAUGUUUGCACAGUUCCACAUAUAACAGAGUAAAAACAAAUUUCAAAAACAGUUCAGAACAUUCAUUUACUCUGCAAAUACAACACAAAUAUCAUCAAGCAGAUACAAUAUUUUAUAUCAAUUCUCCCCAUAUAGACUUGCAAACAUACACUCAUUAAAACUCUCCCCCUUUGUGCAUUAACAAAAAAGGAAUGCUUGACAUUUAUGCAGAUUUUUAAAAUUAGAGAAGCAUAAAAAAAAAUAUGCAGUUUUUAAAACAGUAUUGAUGCUCUCUCAACCACAAUUUCAUCACAAAAAUAUAUGUAAACUCCCCCUGAAGUGAUACUCCUCCUGUUAUUAUGCUUGAGUUUCAAUUAUAUAUAUGCAAAGCAAUGUCCUUCCUGCAAAACCUUUCAAAAGCCUUUUCCAGAUCAAUUAUAGUGGUUAUGCAAGAAUAAUAUUUCAUCAUAAUUGAAGUCAAUGUAUAAAGAUGCAUGACAGUUAUAGCACAGUUGACUUCAUUCAUAACACAGUCGAAUUAAUCAACCAGUAAAACAGAUAUCCAAACACAUUAGCAAACUACUGGAUUAAUUCAAACUGCAAAUUUUCAUUUCCUUGAAUAAUAAAUAUUACAAAUAGUGAUAGCAAUCAAGGAAAGACAAAAUGUACAAGAAAGCAUCAAAAUAUGGCCUUAUAUGCCAUUUUACAAACUGAAACUAUUCUAGGAGAGGUUGAUGUUAAAAAAAUAGGGGCCACGGUCAUGACAAAGGAAAGACACUUGAGAAAAGAAAGGAUCAGAAAGUUUCAAAAGAGUCUUCAUCAUUUGAUUCUUCUGACAUUAGCAGCGAAUUUCCCUUGUGCAUUCUUUUUAGUGUAUCACAUUUGUCAUGUAGAAUCCUAAUUUGAUUGACAACAUAUUUGUCAAAAUUUGUUUCUGGGAAGAACUGUGAUCCACCAGUUUUUAUCACCUCUUUCUUCUCUUCAAGAUCUUCCAUCAUAUCUUCACCCAUAAAUUUUCAUCCUUUUAUUGUUUUUACAAGUCCAAGAGACAUGAGUGAGUCUUUGUCCAAUGAAUUUGAAGAACUCCACAUACAUUUGUGCUCAUUUUCGACUUCAACCCCAAGAAGUAUAAGUAUUUUUCUUAUCAUACAAGCAUAGGGCAGAUACAAUGAUUUCUUCAGAGCACAGUACUCCACGUGAUCUUUAAUCACCUGUAACCAAUUUGUGGAAAUACUGUUCUUGAUAGCAUGAAGUAAGAAGAUAUCUUCAGUGGUCAUCCGAUCUUUCUUGAUCCUUCCGGGUAGAAUGAUUUUGGCCAGUAUGUGAGCAAGAAUCUUCUCCUCCUUCUGUAACCCCUCAUGUGCAAAGAUCUUUUCAAUUGUAUACACGCCAGGAAAGCAUAGCCAUUCUUGAUAUGUUUGUUUCUUGUCCAACAAGGCAUUUACUUCCGAAAUGGGUAAGUGUGAGAAUAUGCCUUCAGAUGGUAAAUUGGCCAUAAUUUUCCACAAAGUAUCAUCAAUAUGAAUGUCUACUCCCUUUACUCUAGAAAAAAAUAUCUCCAUUCUAUAUCCAAAAAUUGUGAUGGAAUACCUUUACCAGAUCAGGAUACCAUGCACCCUUCAAUUAUAUGAAGUCCGACAGGCCUUGUUCUUCUAACCAGUAUGGAAAUGUAAAUCCUUCACCUUUGAAUAUAUCAAGAUUGGUGUUCAUCGGAGGGACUACUGCCUUUACGGACCCAUUCAUGAGCUUUAAUCUUUCUUCAUCAUUUUUAAACCAGUUUGUCGAAGAGGCAUCACCCAUAUUGAUUGUUGUUUGGGAGUUCUUACUCGCAGACAUGCUUGAAGAACCCAUUACAAGAAGAUUCUUUGAAACAUUCUAGGAGACUUUUGAGUAGAGAGAAGUGUGACAAGACAGAAGUAGUUUAGAAUGAGAUUGUGUCCUAAAUAAGGAGGGAAAAAAUGCGCGCCUCGUUUAAUGUUUGAUUAGUCAGAAUUAAUUUUUCUGUUUCAGAACAAUAGGAAACAGGGGACAAAUUCGAAUGUAUUAAUAUGGGGAGUCGACUUUGGCUCGUUAAAAAUCUUUUUCAAGCAAAUUCAACCAAUCAAUCAAUUAAGCACACAAUGCAAACAAUCAUACAACAACAAACAAUUAACAUAUUCAUGAUACAACAAUCAGAUACAGAUUUACCAGUUGUAGACCCUCAAGGUUUUCGAAAUUUUCCAUAGUUGAUUCAUCCUUGAGAUAGUUCUGUAUUAGCUACAUAACCUGUAAAAUAGUUAAGUUUUGGUUGCUGGUACCCAUUUAAUUUUGGGUCCUUGAUUGUUAGUUCUUGUCACGUGUUCCUUUGGUAUCCAUACAUAUAAUCCUUGAGGAACAACAACAUUUCUAUAGUAACAAUUUCUAACAGUAUGACCAACACAUUUGCAAUAAAAACAUGCAUUUCUAGCAGGUUUUCUUAAACCAUUAAGCUUUCUAGCAUUAAUUCUGUUAGAGUAACCUUUAAAUCCAAUUCCCUGCCUAUUAUUGUUUCUGCUAGAGCAAUUUAAUACAGUAUCAAGAUUGUCAAUAGCUUGAGCAAACCUAGCUAGCUUGCUAGUCAAGUAAUUAAUCUUUUCAACAUGUUUAGGACAUUUUUUACAAUCUUUUUCCACAGUAACAGUUUUAAUUUCAACACUCUUAGCAGAAGAUAAGGCUAUUUCCAAUUCCUUUUCUAAUCUUUCAUUUUCAGAAACAAUGUUAUUGAUUCGAUUUUCAAAAUCUCUUCUCUUAGAGCUCAGUCGAUUUACCUUGUACUGCAAUCACAUUGCUUCAACAUGUAAUUCUUUGAAAGCAUCUUGCAGCAGAUCAUAUUUGACUUCUAUAGGCUCAUUUGAUAUGUCUACAUCACGGUCAUAAUCAUCCCAUGACACACCUGUCAUAUAGCAUAAGUUUGAUUCCUCUUCUUGAUUAGAAUCUUCAUCACUUGAGCUUUCAAAUUCAGAAUUCUCCCAAGCAAUGUAGGCUCCUUUCUUCUUCAUGUUUCUGCUUUGAGGAAAUCUUUUCUUUCCUUUCUGCUUCGGUUGUAACUCAGGACAUUUAGGCUUGAUGUGGCCUUCUUUUCCACAUUCAUAACACGGGACAGUGUUUGUGCUGAAGCUUUCUUCUUGCUUUGACCUGCAUGGUUAGACAGUUGACUAUCAUUUUGCAUAAGUCGACUAAAUUUUCUUACCAUCAAGGUCAUCAAUUCUUUGUCAUCUGUUAAGUCCCUGACAAGUGUACCAGAUCGUUAUCAAGUAAUAUAAAAUGGGUAAUUCCAAGUAUCGUUUCCCAAAGGACUCUUAGGCCUUAGUUUUCAUGUAAACUAAUCGCGUAAGACUUGAGAAAAGAAUUAAAUUGAGUUGUUAAUGCAAAGAACAAAAUUAAACAUGCAAAUGCAAUGAUUCAAUUGGCUUUAAGAAACUAUGGAUGAAUGGAGUUGUUGGGGUUUACAAUUUCAUCUUAUCCACCCUCAUAUAUCUACUCUUCUUAUUUAAUUAGCUUAUUUAUCAUAUUGUCAUGCAAAUUUUCUUAGUCACUUAACCCAAACCCUUGGUGAAAAGAGCCUAUUACUAAUUAUCGGCUUGCUAUCCCUAGCCUCCCCUAGUAAUUAAUAAUGCAUGAUAAGCGGAAGCAAAAUACAUUUGAUUGUCCUACCCCUAUCCCUAGGCGGCAUUAACAUAUUCAAGGAAUUCAAACCAGUUCAUGAUAUUACUGUACGUCCCCGUAUCAAUAAAGACAAAAACCAUUUACCGAAUGAGUUAAACGAUAAAAGCAUUAAGCAAAGGUGAAGAACCCAACAAUUGAUAAAUCAAGCAUAUGCAAGCAUAUAAAAUAAGAAUUUGGAUAUAUGAGAGUUUCAAAAGAUUACAUUGUUCCCCAACAACCUAGGGUUUAGUUCCUCAUGGUGAAACAAGAUGAAAUAUUAUGAAAGAAUGGAAGAAAUAACCCUAAACUUGGUAGGUUAGAGCCUAAGCAUCCAAGGAACCUCCUCCAAGGUGUGUGGAAUAGCUCUAGAUGUUUCUCUUUGUCAAAACAAUAGGGUUUCAAGUCGCACUAGGGCUAUAUAUAGGCCAAAAAGAUAACAAAAUGAUCACAGAAUCCGCAAAAUAAAAACUGACAACUGCUCAACCCCUAAUUUGACCGCUCAGCGGUUUCCCCUUAAUCGCAGGACCGCUCAACUUCCAAAACUGCCGCUCAGCGCCAAAAACUGACCGCUCAGCGCCAAAAACUGACCGCUCAACGCCCAUUUUCACUGCUCAGUGAUGAAGGUCGAAAAACAGUGAUUUUCAUAUGUCAAUUUGGACCAAAUUACACUCUUUACUACUCGGAAUGAGCUUAGACUCAAGCAAAACUCAAUAAAUGAGUCUGAAGAGAGUCAAACGUUGUUUUUAGCUAUUUUAUGUUUAUUUUGAAUUUUUUUGUAGCUAAUUUGAGAAAAGUGAGAAUGGAGUUAAAGAUACAGGUCGUUGACUCAAGAAGAGAACAGAAAAA